UUUCCGUAGGGUAACCUGCGGAAGGAUCAUUACCUAGAGUUUGUGGGCUUUGCCCGCUACCUCUUACCCAUGUCUUUUGAGUACUUACGUUUCCUCGGCGGGUCCGCCCGCCGAUUGGACAAAAUCAAACCCUUUGCAGUUGCAAUCAGCGUCUGAAAAACAUAAUAGUUACAACUUUCAACAACGGAUCUCUUGGUUCUGGCAUCGAUGAAGAACGCAGCGAAAUGCGAUAAGUAGUGUGAAUUGCAGAAUUCAGUGAAUCAUCGAAUCUUUGAACGCACAUUGCGCCCCUUGGUAUUCCAUGGGGCAUGCCUGUUCGAGCGUCAUUUGUACCUUCAAGCUUUGCUUGGUGUUGGGUGUUUGUCUCGCCUCUGCGUGUAGACUCGCCUUAAAACAAUUGGCAGCCGGCGUAUUGAUUUCGGAGCGCAGUACAUCUCGCGCUUUGCACUCAUAACGACGACGUCCAAAAGUACAUUUUUACACUCUUGACCUCGGAUCAGGUAGGGAUACCCGCUGAACUUAAGCAUAUCAAUAAGCCGGAGG
This 543-nucleotide ribosomal RNA is filed under the name Ascochyta rabiei. RNAcentral's name for it is "eukaryotic LSU rRNA". The stretch from base 173 to 326 matches the Rfam family "5.8S ribosomal RNA". The record is from RNAcentral. Lineage: Eukaryota; Fungi; Ascomycota; Dothideomycetes; Pleosporales; Didymellaceae.